This 440-nucleotide ribosomal RNA is filed under the name uncultured bacterium. Its description in RNAcentral is "partial 16S ribosomal RNA". It matches the Rfam family "Bacterial small subunit ribosomal RNA", at positions 338 to 795 of the family's 1533-position model. The record is from RNAcentral.
CCUACGGGUGGCUGCAGUGGGGGAUAUUGCACAAUGGACGGAACUCUGAUGCAGCGACGUCGCGUGAGGGAAGAAGGCUUUCGGAUUUUUAACCUCUGUCUUCGGUGACGAAACGAGACGGUAGCUGCGGAGGAAGCCACGGCGAACUACGUGCCAGCAGCCGCGGUAAUACGUAGGGGGCAAGCGUUGUCCGGAAUUACUGAGUGUAAAGGGAGCGUAGGCGGGAAAGCAAGUUGAAUGUUUAAGGUACGGGCUCAACCUGUACAAGCGGUUAAAACUGUUGAUCUUGAGUGUAGUAGAGGUAUGCGGAAUGCGUAGUGUAGCGGUGAAAUGCGUAGAUAUUAGGAGGAACACCAGUGGCGAAGGCAGCUUACUGGGCUUUAACUGACGCUGAGGCUCGAAAGCGUGGGUAGCAAACAGGAUUAGAUACCCUAGUAGUC